RNAcentral lists this unclassified non-coding RNA (405 nucleotides) under soil metagenome. Its description in RNAcentral is "partial contains 5.8S ribosomal RNA, internal transcribed spacer 2, and large subunit ribosomal RNA". The stretch from base 1 to 121 matches the Rfam family "5.8S ribosomal RNA", at positions 35 to 154 of the family's 154-position model. The record is from RNAcentral.
GAUGAAGAACGUAGCGAAAUGCGAUAAGUAAUGUGAAUUGCAGAAUUCAGUGAAUCAUCGAAUCUUUGAACGCACCUUGCGCCCUUUGGCCAUUCCGAAGGGCAUGCCUGUUUGAGUAUCAUGAACACCUCAACUCUUUAUGGUUUUCCAUGAUGAGCUUGGACUCUGGGGGUUUUGCUGGCUCACAGUCGGCUCCUCUAAAAUGAAUCAGCUUACCAGUGUUUGGUGGGUAUCAUGGGUGUGAUAACUAUCUACGCUUGUGGUUUUUCCACCAGGUAACCUUCAGCAGUGGAGGUUCGCUGGAGCUCAUAGAUGUCUCUCCUCAGUAAGCACAGCCCUUUGAAUGUUUGAUCUCAAAUCAGGUAGGACUACCCGCUGAACUUAAGCAUAUCAAUAAGCGGAGGA